This 452-nucleotide ribosomal RNA is filed under the name uncultured bacterium. RNAcentral's name for it is "bacterial SSU rRNA". It matches the Rfam family "Bacterial small subunit ribosomal RNA", at positions 29 to 524 of the family's 1533-position model. The record is from RNAcentral.
AGCGAACGCUGGCGGCAGGCUUAACACAUGCAAGUCGAACGGGCAUCUUCGGAUGUCAGUGGCAGACGGGUGAGUAACACGUGGGAACAUGCCCUUCGGUUCGGAAUAACUCAGGGAAACUUGAGCUAAUACCGGAUACGCCCUUACGGGGAAAGAUUUAUUGCCGAAGGAUUGGCCCGCGUCUGAUUAGCUAGUUGGUGAGGUAAUGGCUCACCAAGGCGACGAUCAGUAGCUGGUCUGAGAGGAUGAUCAGCCACACUGGGACUGAGACACGGCCCAGACUCCUACGGGAGGCAGCAGUGGGGAAUAUUGGACAAUGGGCGAAAGCCUGAUCCAGCCAUGCCGCGUGAGUGAUGAAGGCCUUAGGGUUGUAAAGCUCUUUUAUCCGGGAAGAUAAUGACUGUACCGGAAGAAUAAGCCCCGGCUAACUUCGUGCCAGCCGCCGCGGUAAC